AAGGGCUUAGCUUAAUUAAAGUGAUUGAUUUGCGUUCAGUUGAUGUGGGGUAUAGGCCCGCAGUCCUUA
RNAcentral lists this transfer RNA (69 nucleotides) under Megaloglossus woermanni (Woermann's bat). Its description in RNAcentral is "tRNA-Ala". It matches the Rfam family "tRNA". Rfam says of the family: Transfer RNA (tRNA) molecules are approximately 80 nucleotides in length. Lineage: Eukaryota; Metazoa; Chordata; Mammalia; Chiroptera; Pteropodidae. The record is from RNAcentral.